ACGAACGCUGGCGGCGUGCUUAACACAUGCAAGUCGAACGGGCCCGCUCUCUUUUUUGGGGGUGGGUUGAGUGGCGAACGGGUGAGUAUCACGUGAGUAACCUGCCCCCUGCUCCUGGAUAACUGCUUGAAAGGGCGGCUAAUACGGGGUGUGCCGGCUGGUCCGCAUGGGCCUGGUCGGGAUAGUUUCAUCUUCGGGUGUUUCGGUGGGGGAUGGGCUCGCGGCCUAUCAGCUUGUUGGUGGGGUGAUGGCCCACCAAGGCGGUGACGGGUAGCCGGCCUGAGAGGGUGGGCGGCCACACUGGGACUGAGACACGGCCCAGACUCCUGCGGGAGGCAGCAGUGGGGGGUAUUGCGCAAUGGGCGGAAGCCUGAUGCAGCGACGUCGCGUGAGGGAUGGAGGCCUUCGGGUUGUGAACCUCUUUCUCCGGUGGUGAAGGCCCUGUCCGUUGCGGCGGGGUUGACGGUAGCCGGGUAUGAAGCGCCGGCUAACUACGUG
RNAcentral lists this ribosomal RNA (498 nucleotides) under uncultured bacterium. Its description in RNAcentral is "partial 16S ribosomal RNA". It matches the Rfam family "Bacterial small subunit ribosomal RNA", at positions 29 to 507 of the family's 1533-position model. The record is from RNAcentral.